AUUGAACGCUGGCGGCAUGCUUUACACAUGCAAGUCGAACGGUAACAGGUUAAGCUGACGAGUGGCGAACGGGUGAGUAAUGCAUCGGAACGUGCCCGAUCGUGGGGGAUAACGCAGCGAAAGCUGCGCUAAUACCGCAUACGAUCUGAGGAUGAAAGCGGGGGACCGUAAGGCCUCGCGCGAUCGGAGGCGCCGAUGUCAGAUUAGGUAGUUGGUGGGGUAAAGGCCCACCAAGCCGACGAUCUGUAGCUGGUCUGAGAGGACGACCAGCCACACUGGGACUGAGACACGGCCCAGACUCCUACGGGAGGCAGCAGUGGGGAAUUUUGGACAAUGGGCGAAAGCCUGAUCCAGCAAUGCCGCGUGCAGGAAGAAGGCCUUCGGGUUGUAAACUGCUUUUGUACGGAGCGAAAAGGUCCUUUCUAAUACAAGGGGCUCAUGACGGUACCGUAAGAAUAAGCACCGGCUAACUACGUGCCAGCAGCCGCAGUAA
RNAcentral lists this ribosomal RNA (493 nucleotides) under uncultured bacterium. RNAcentral describes it as "partial 16S ribosomal RNA". It matches the Rfam family "Bacterial small subunit ribosomal RNA", at positions 30 to 523 of the family's 1533-position model. The record is from RNAcentral.